Molecule: long non-coding RNA, 305 nt
Organism: Juglans microcarpa x Juglans regia
Lineage: Eukaryota; Viridiplantae; Streptophyta; Magnoliopsida; Fagales; Juglandaceae
Exons: 3
Source: RefSeq, a predicted model, not a curated record
CCAAGAGGAUACAACGCAGAUGAUGCGUGCACCCAGAAGCAGAACUUCUGCAACAACCUGUUUUUUCAGGAUCUAUUGUAGGGUACUCUUACAAUAAUGUUUGUUCUUUUUAGAAAAUGUUGCCAGUUUUUUCCAUUUUUUUUCCUCCCUUUCUAACUGAUAGGAUUGGAGAUGGGAAUGUUGUGAAUUAGGCUCAAGAACCUGGGCCCUGUUUAACUAUCUUGCAAUAGCACAGAUUUUUGUAUUUUGAUGUUAUUAUCUAUCACACGAGAUUAUAUAUACCAGUCUUUGUUCAUUUGUUAUAA